Molecule: non-coding RNA, 167 nt
Filed under: Atribacterota
Lineage: Bacteria; Pseudomonadati
Description: Candidatus Atribacteria FMN sequence
Rfam family: FMN riboswitch aptamer (RFN element)
About the family: The RFN element is a highly conserved domain that is found frequently in the 5'-untranslated regions of prokaryotic mRNAs that encode for flavin mononucleotide (FMN) biosynthesis and transport proteins. This element is a metabolite-dependent riboswitch that directly binds FMN in the absence of proteins.
Source: RNAcentral
UAACUUUUUCGGGGCAGGGUAAGGUUAGUUUAAAAAUUGACCAAUUCCCGAUCGGUGGUAAAUUCUUAAGAAUAAGCCCACGAACCCGGCACUUACUAAGGUGAUUGCCAGGUGGAUCUGGUGAAAAGCCAGAGCCGACAGUAAAGUCUGGAUAGAAGAAGAAGUAA